GGGUCUGUAGCUCAGGGGUAGAGCGUCUCUUUAGCGUAGAGGAGGCCUGGGGUUCGAUUCCUCAUAGAUCCA
RNAcentral lists this transfer RNA (72 nucleotides) under Anaeramoeba flamelloides. RNAcentral describes it as "tRNA-Ala". It matches the Rfam family "tRNA". From Rfam's summary of the family: Transfer RNA (tRNA) molecules are approximately 80 nucleotides in length. Lineage: Eukaryota; Anaeramoebidae. The record is from RNAcentral.